Molecule: long non-coding RNA, 1473 nt
Organism: Acanthaster planci (crown-of-thorns starfish)
Lineage: Eukaryota; Metazoa; Echinodermata; Asteroidea; Valvatida; Acanthasteridae
Source: RefSeq, a predicted model, not a curated record
GCGCGGGCGUGGUCACAGCAGCGCGAAGGCUAUAAAAGGCGCGCGCAGUUAAGUACAGUAGUACUCGUCUAUCUUGAUCAAGGGCUGAUCCUGAGGAAAGGUGUUCCUGGAGGGAGUCCAGUAGACUGUCCCCCAGUCUGGGGCUACUCUGUCAACGUCUCCAUCCUCUCCUUGAAUAUCGACACGUGUACUGACGUAAUCCUCGAUUACAUUAAAUUUUGUGAGGAUGUCUGCAUUCCAUUGAAGGUGGUGAAGUUGCACCCAAAUAACAAACCCUGGUUUGGCCACUCGCUGCGUCACCUACUAAAGAUGAAAACGGCGGCAUUUAAGUCUGGUGACCCCCAAGAGUACAAAAAAGCCAAGGACAACUUUUAUCGGCGGAUUAAAGUAGCCAAACGUUCAUACAAAGGAAAACUGGAGAACAGACUGUCGGGUACAAAUGGAAGCAGAGAACUUUGGGAGAGUGUCAGGGCUGUCAUCCCAUACAAGUCCAAAUCUACUUCAGUCAACUUGGACAAUGUCAAUCUUCCUGACGAACUCAACAAAAUUUAUAGCCGGUUCGAGCAGGAAAAUGACAUACACCCUCUCAGAAAUGUUGGUCCUCCCCUAUUUGUAAUCGCGUAGGUGGACACUUGUUGUGUUUUUCACGGUUGAAUGCAAGGAAAGCUUCAGGUUCCGAUGGAAUUUAAUCUCGUUUACUGAAAUCAUGUUCUGGUGAACUUUCUUUUAUAUUUACAUCAAUUUUUAAUUGGUUUUUAACAUUGUGUAAAAUUCCACAGGUUUUAAAAAAUCAAUUAUAGUUCCAGUACCGAAAAACUCCUAUAACAGCUUCAACGAUUAUCGGCCAGUGGCACUCACAUCACAAGUCAUGAAAUCACUAGAGCGUAUUGUUUUGGAUUAUUUUAAGUUUGCCAUUUCAAAGUCACUGGGUCCUUUACAAUUUGCAUACCGUGCCAAUCAUACUGCAUUAUGUGUUCCAACAUUUAGACAGUAGAUCAUCAACAUAUGCCAGACUUUUGUUUAUUGAUUUCAGUUUUUGCAUUUAAUACAAUAUUACCAUCCAAAUUAUACAAUAAGCUCAAUGAAUUCGGUUUGAACUCAUCACAUUGUAGCUGGAUUUACGAUUUUCUUAUACCGAUCGCAGUCAAGUUGUUAGAGUGAAUUCUUUAAUCUCAAACUCAAUUGUUACGAAUACCGGCGCUCCCCAAGAGUGUGUGCUAUCACCAUUGCUAUAUUCAUUGUACACUUAUGAUUGCUUUUCUUCAUUUGAUGCCUGUAAAAUUGUCAAUUAUUCGUAGACGACACACAAAAACACAACUUGAAACAAGAGAUUGACUGUAGGGCAUCGGUCUUCGUGUCGCUAAUCUUUUUAUUUAUUUUAGUUUCUCAAUUAUAUUUUUUGAAUAGCCUAAAUUGGCCAUCAUCAAUUGGGGCACGCUUGCCCAAAACCUUGCCACGCUUGGCAUCAUGUGG